This 497-nucleotide ribosomal RNA is filed under the name uncultured bacterium. RNAcentral describes it as "partial 16S ribosomal RNA". It matches the Rfam family "Bacterial small subunit ribosomal RNA", at positions 28 to 507 of the family's 1533-position model. The record is from RNAcentral.
GAUGAACGCUGGCGGCGUGCCUAAUACAUGCAAGUCGAGCGAACAGACGAGGAGCUUGCUCCUCUCACGUUAGCGGCGGACGGGUGAGUAACACGUGGAUAACCUCCCUAUAAGACUGGGAUAACUUCGGGACACCGGAGCUAAUACCGGAUAAUAUAUUGAACCGCAUGGUUCAAUGGUGAAAGACGGUGUUGCUGGCACUACUCGAUGGAUCCGCGCCGUAUUAGCUAGUUGUUACGGUCACGGCUUACGAAGGCAACGAUGCGUUGACGACCUGAGAGGGUGGUCGCCCACAUGGGAAGGGAGACACGGUCCAGACGCCUACGGGAGGCAGCAGUAGGGAAUCUUCCGCAAUGGGCGAGAGCAUGACGGAGCAACGCCGCGUGAGUGAUGAAGGUCUUCGGAGCGUAAUACUCUGCUAUGAGGGAAGAACAACUGUGGAAGGAACUAUGCACGUCGUGACGGUACCGAAUCAGAAAGCCACGGCUAACUACGUG